GAGUAAGGACAUUAAAACUGUUCUUAAAGAAGCCUUGAAGGAGGAUAGAGAGGGCACGGAUGGUCUUGCCGCGAUGCUGGUCAUGAUGGCAUAUUUCAAGGAAGCAGACGAUGGCCUUUUUGUCCUAGCUGAUGCAACAACGACGCCUGCUGAUGCCGAGAUGGAAUGCUCACUUCCCACCACCCCGAGGCUCAUUGUGUUAGGAGAAACCGCAUGGUCUGCGAACCGGUGGAUGCUGUCGAUAGAAGGCCGUAUUGUGAUCGCACAUUCACCACCCAUACCAGAUUUCCCAACUGCCCUCGCUGUCUUGUUCGCC
Pungitius pungitius (ninespine stickleback) is the source of this 316-nucleotide long non-coding RNA. RefSeq lists it as uncharacterized. The record is from RefSeq and is a predicted model, not a curated record. The transcript is spliced from 3 exons. Lineage: Eukaryota; Metazoa; Chordata; Actinopteri; Perciformes; Gasterosteidae.